AUCCAGCCGACGAGUCCGAAAUGGGACGAAACGCGCCUUGUCCUGGAU
This 48-nucleotide non-coding RNA is filed under the name Schistosoma mansoni. The record is from RNAcentral. Lineage: Eukaryota; Metazoa; Platyhelminthes; Trematoda; Strigeidida; Schistosomatidae.